This 203-nucleotide ribosomal RNA is filed under the name Providencia stuartii. Its description in RNAcentral is "partial 23S ribosomal RNA". It matches the Rfam family "Bacterial large subunit ribosomal RNA", at positions 1113 to 1314 of the family's 2925-position model. Lineage: Bacteria; Pseudomonadati; Pseudomonadota; Gammaproteobacteria; Enterobacterales; Morganellaceae. The record is from RNAcentral.
CAGCCAUCAUUUAAAGAAAGCGUAAUAGCUCACUGGUCGAGUCGGCCUGCGCGGAAGAUGUAACGGGGCUAAACCAUGCACCGAAGCUGCGGCAGCGACAUUUAGAUGUUGUUGGGUAGGGGAGCGUUCUGUAAGCCUGUGAAGGUGUGCUGCGAGGCAUGCUGGAGGUAUCAGAAGUGCGAAUGCUGACAUAAGUAACGAUA